This 28-nucleotide non-coding RNA is filed under the name Mus musculus (house mouse). The record is from RNAcentral. Lineage: Eukaryota; Metazoa; Chordata; Mammalia; Rodentia; Muridae.
UUGAAUAAACUUCUUUUCUGUGAAUGCA